RNAcentral lists this long non-coding RNA (941 nucleotides) under Solanum lycopersicum (tomato). Its description in RNAcentral is "long non-coding RNA (SLYC_LNC001361)". The record is from RNAcentral. Lineage: Eukaryota; Viridiplantae; Streptophyta; Magnoliopsida; Solanales; Solanaceae.
UUUUUGAAAGAAGGAUGAUGCGAAUAACAUGUUACUUUGAAUGAGGUGACAACCCAGCGUGUCUCGUUGAAAGACGGACAACCCAACUUGAACUUAACAUGUCAUUUGAAGGUAGAUGAUGACCCAAUCCUAAAUCUUUGAAAGGCGGACGACCCAACUUGAACUUAAUAUGUCAUUUGAAGGGAGAUGACAACCCAAUCUUGUCUCUUUGAAAGGCGGACGACCCAACUUGAACAUGCCAUUUGAAGGGAGAUGACAACCCAAUCCUGUCUUUUUGAAAGGCGGACCACCCAAUCUUGAACUUAAUAUAUCAUUUGAAGGGAGAUGACAACCCAAUCUUGUCUCUUUGAAAGGCGGACGACCCAACUUGAACUUAAUAUGUCAUUUGGAGAGAGAUGGCGACCCAAUCCUAUCUCUUUGAAAGGCGGACGACCCAAUCUUGAACUUAAUAUGUCAUUUGAAGGGAGAUGACAACCCAAUCUUGUCUCUUUGAAAGGCGGACUACCCAACUUGAACUUAAUAUGUCAUUUGGAGGGAGAUACAACCCAAUCUUGUCUCUUUGAAAGGCGGACGACCCAACUUGAACUUAACAUGUCAUUUGAAGGGAGAUGACGACCCAAUCCUGUUUCUUUGAAAGGCGGACGACCCAAUCGUGAACUUAAUAUGUCAUUUGAAGUGAGAUGACAAUCCAAUCUUGUCUCUUUGAAAGCGGACGACCCAAGUUGAACUUAACAUGUCAUUUGAAGGGAGAUGACAACCCAAUCUUGUCUCUUUGAAAGGCGGACGACCCAACUUGAACUUAACAUGUCAUUUGAAGGGAGAUGACGACCCAAUCUUGUCUCUUUGAAAGGCGGACGACCCAACUUGAACUUAACAUGUCAUUUGGAGGGAGAUGACAACCCAAUCUUGUCUCUUUGAAAGGCAGACGACCAAACUUGAAC